UGCAGUCGAACGCAGUAGCAAUACUGAGUGGCAAACGGGUGAGUAUACUGUGGGGGUCUGCCUUUUGGUCUGGAAUAACACGAGGAAACCUAUUGCUAAUACCGGAUAAGCCUUCACAGGGAAAGUUUUAAUGCCAAAAGAUGAGCCCGCACUUGAUUAGCUAGUUGGUAAGGUAAUAGCUUACCAAGGCAACGAUCAAUAGCUGUUCUUAGAGGAAGACCAGCCACAUUGGGACUGAGACACGGCCCAAACUCCUACGGGAGGCAGCAGUGGGGAAUCUUGCACAAUGGGGGAAACCCUGAUGCAGCGAUGCCGCGUGAGUGAAGAAGGCCUUUGGGUUGUAAAACUCUUUCGUCGGGGAAGAAAAUGACUGUACCCGAAUAAGAAGGUCCGGCUAACUUCGUGCCAGCAGCCGCGGUAAUACGAAGGGACCUAGCGUAGUUCGGAAUUACUGGGCUUAAAGAGUUCGUAGGUGGUUAAAAAAGUUGAUGGUGAAAUCCCAAGGCUCAACCUUGGAACUGCCAUCAAAACUUUUUAGCUAGAGUAUGAUAGAGGAAAGUGGAAUUUCUAGUGUAGAGGUGAAAUUCGUAGAUAUUAGAAAGAACAUC
RNAcentral lists this ribosomal RNA (608 nucleotides) under uncultured bacterium. Its description in RNAcentral is "bacterial SSU rRNA". It matches the Rfam family "Bacterial small subunit ribosomal RNA", at positions 56 to 710 of the family's 1533-position model. The record is from RNAcentral.